RNAcentral lists this ribosomal RNA (475 nucleotides) under Aureobasidium sp. DMKU-SP130. RNAcentral's name for it is "LSU rRNA". It matches the Rfam family "Eukaryotic large subunit ribosomal RNA", at positions 162 to 649 of the family's 3401-position model. Lineage: Eukaryota; Fungi; Ascomycota; Dothideomycetes; Dothideales; Saccotheciaceae. The record is from RNAcentral.
UUCUGGGUGAAACGCCUGUCUAAGUUCCUUGGAACAGGACGUCAUAGAGGGUGAGAAUCCCGUAUGUGACUGGAAAUGUUAACCUAUGUAAAGCUCCUUCGACGAGUCGAGUUGUUUGGGAAUGCAGCUCUAAAUGGGAGGUAAAUUUCUUCUAAAGCUAAAUAUUGGCGAGAGACCGAUAGCGCACAAGUAGAGUGAUCGAAAGAUGAAAAGCACUUUGGAAAGAGAGUUAAAAAGCACGUGAAAUUGUUGAAAGGGAAGCGCUUGCAAUCAGACUUGUUUAAACUGUUCGGCCGGUCUUCUGACCGGUUUACUCAGUUUGGACAGGCCAGCAUCAGUUUCGGCGGCCGGAUAAAGGCUCUGGGAAUGUGGCCUUCACUUCGGUGAAGGUGUUAUAGCCCAGGGUGUAAUACGGCCAGCCGGGACUGAGGUCCGCGCUUCGGCUAGGAUGCUGGCGUAAUGGUUGUAAGCGACC